RNAcentral lists this ribosomal RNA (475 nucleotides) under uncultured bacterium. RNAcentral describes it as "bacterial SSU rRNA". It matches the Rfam family "Bacterial small subunit ribosomal RNA", at positions 355 to 824 of the family's 1533-position model. The record is from RNAcentral.
UGAGGAAUAUUCCACAAUGGGCGAAAGCCUGAUGGAGCGACGCCGCGUGCGGGAAGAAGCCUUUCGGGGUGUAAACCGCUUUUCUCUGGGAUGACACGCUUCCGUAAGGGAGCUAGGACAGUACCAGAGGAAUAAGCCUCGGCUAACUACGUGCCAGCAGCCGCGGUAAUACGUAGGAGGCGAGCGUUGUCCGGAUUUACUGGGCGUAAAGCGCGCGCAGGCGGCACCUCAAGUACUCUCUGAAAUCCACCUGCUCAACGGGUGGGGUGGAGAGUAGACUGAGGAGCUAGAGAGAGGUAGAGGGGGGUAGAAUUGCUGGUGUAGCGGUGAAAUGCGUAGAGAUCAGCAGGAAUACCCGUGGCGAAGGCGGCCCCCUGGGCCUCUUCUGUCGCCGAGGCGCGAAGGCGUGGGGGAGCGGAACGGGAUUAGACGUACCCCGGUAGUCCCAGCAGUAAACGAUGACCACGUAGGUGGU